AGACAAAGGAAGAGACACAGAAAAUGGCCGUGAAUAACAUUUUGAUGACUAGCCAACAUUUCUCAAGAACAAAAAAAGAGCGAGUUCAAAGGUUAAUCAGUUGUAUUACCUCUCAUUAAUUUAAUUAGGUCUUGUAACACGUUAUUAGCAAAGUAUGACCAAUAAGUUGAAAAGCAUUUGUAGUGAACAUAUGAUGUUGACGUUCUUGAAUGAAGUUCCUUAUACCAUCCAGCAGAGGGUGCAUGUCUGAGUCACUAAAGCAAGCAGGUGCUUGUUUUGGGGUAUAUCUGAAAGAGUAUUUGGCUUUUAUAAAAAGGUCUGGAUAUCACAGCUAAUGAGAUUAUGCCCCCACUCUCUGCGUAAACACUAUUUGAAUGUUUGCUCAAAUGUAGGCUCGGUAAACAGGCUAUUUACGGGAACUGUUUGAUAUAUGUUGACGUGCUCAACCUUUAUCAGCUUCAAAAAAAAAAAACAAAAAACAAAAUAUAGAGUGAGGUCCAGCCAGAAGAUUGCAAAAUGAAUCAUACUGCCCACACAUAACAUCCUACAGGGUGUCAUGGCGGCUCAGUGGGCAGCAGCGUUACUUCACACCUCCAGGAUUGGGGAUGCAGGGAUAGAUACAUACACAUCUGUACUGUUAGUAAGUUGGCGGAGCUUAUUUCAAGCAGGGUAAGAGCAGCUAUUUAAAAACCUGGCCAUUUGCUCUGCAAAUUCCAGAACAAAACUGUAAGUAUGUUUAACUCACUAUAUUUAAAAGCACUUACUAUAAUUUCAACACGAAACAUUUACAGAGAUCACUGUUUUCCACAUUAUCUUUCUUUAUUUCUACAUCCAAAACUGCAGGGGGUGACAAAAUACCGACACAGACAGCGAGAUCGCAGAGUUAACAAGGAAAGUCUUCAUCGCCAAUUGACUGAGGUCUCUAGCCAUGCUAAACCGUUACUUUCUGCGUCUGAGGGCGGCUAAGAACAGAGACUUGCGAUCUGAAGCUUGCUGUUGGCUUCCAAUGGGCCCCUCCCAGCCAGAAUGGACCCAAUUCUCAGAAGUUCUCUCCUAAAUGCAUAAAUUAUGUAAACGAUGUCACAAGGCUCCUCCCACCUCUUUCAUCAUUCAACG
Molecule: long non-coding RNA, 1116 nt
Organism: Brienomyrus brachyistius
Lineage: Eukaryota; Metazoa; Chordata; Actinopteri; Osteoglossiformes; Mormyridae
Exons: 3
Source: RefSeq, a predicted model, not a curated record